AUUGAACGCUAGCGGGAUGCCUUACACAUGCAAGUCGAACGGCAGCGGGAAGUAGCUUGCUACUUUGCCGGCGAGUGGCGAACGGGUGAGUAAUGUAUCGGAACGUGCCCAGUAGCGGGGGAUAACUACGCGAAAGCGUGGCUAAUACCGCAUACGCCCUACGGGGAAAGGGGGGACGUCUUCGGAGCCUCUCACUAUUGGGGCGGGCCGGAUAUCGGAUUAGCUAGUUGGUGGGGUAAAGGCCUACCAA
This 250-nucleotide ribosomal RNA is filed under the name uncultured bacterium. RNAcentral's name for it is "partial 16S ribosomal RNA". It matches the Rfam family "Bacterial small subunit ribosomal RNA", at positions 30 to 271 of the family's 1533-position model. The record is from RNAcentral.